ACGGACGAGGGCGACUACCAGAUCAAGAUGCGCAACCUGCGCCGCUUCAUCGAGGAAGACGGCGACAAGGGCAAGGUCACGCUGCGCUACCGCGGCCGCGAGAUCACCCACCAGGACAUCGGCAUGCGCCUGCUGGAGCGCAUUCGCGACGAACUGGCCGAUGUGGCCGUCGUCGAGAACAUGCCGAAGCUCGAAGGGCGCCAGAUGAUCAUGGUGCUGGGUCCGAAGAAGCGUUGAAGUUUUGAGAGUUCAGCGCGCCGGUCUGGUCACCGGCGCGUUGCAAGAAGCCCCUCCAGGCCAACAAGACCGCAA
This 312-nucleotide unclassified non-coding RNA is filed under the name Rhizobacter sp. OV335. RNAcentral describes it as "Long range pseudoknot". Lineage: Bacteria; Pseudomonadati; Pseudomonadota; Betaproteobacteria; Burkholderiales; Sphaerotilaceae. The record is from RNAcentral.